UGGGGAAUUUUGGACAAUGGGCGAAAGCCUGAUCCAGCAAUGCCGCGUGCAGGAUGAAGGCCUUCGGGUUGUAAACUGCUUUUGUACGGAACGAAAAGCCCUGGGUUAAUACCCUGGGGUCAUGACGGUACCGUAAGAAUAAGCACCGGCUAACUACGUG
This 160-nucleotide ribosomal RNA is filed under the name uncultured bacterium. RNAcentral's name for it is "partial 16S ribosomal RNA". It matches the Rfam family "Bacterial small subunit ribosomal RNA", at positions 355 to 507 of the family's 1533-position model. The record is from RNAcentral.